This 239-nucleotide ribosomal RNA is filed under the name uncultured bacterium. RNAcentral's name for it is "partial 16S ribosomal RNA". It matches the Rfam family "Bacterial small subunit ribosomal RNA", at positions 96 to 334 of the family's 1533-position model. The record is from RNAcentral.
UGGCGAACGGGUGAGUAACGCGUGAGGAACCUGCCUCAAAGAGGGGGACAACAGUUGGAAACGACUGCUAAUACCGCAUAAGCCCACGACCCGGCAUCGGGUAGAGGGAAAAGGAGCAAUCCGCUUUGAGAUGGCCUCGCGUCCGAUUAGCUAGUUGGUGAGGUAAUGGCCCACCAAGGCGACGAUCGGUAGCCGGACUGAGAGGUUGAACGGCCACAUUGGACUGAGACACGGCCCAG